UGGGGAAUAUUGGGCAAUGGGCGCAAGCCUGACCCAGCAACGCCGCGUGAAGGAAGAAGGCUUUCGGGUUGUAAACUUCUUUUCUCAGGGACGAAGAAAGUGACGGUACCUGAGGAAUAAGCCACGGCUAACUACGUGCCAGCAGCCGCGGUAAUACGUAGGUGGCAAGCGUUAUCCGGAUUUACUGGGUGUAAAGGGCGUGUAGGCGGGAGUGCAAGUCAGAUGUGAAAACCAUGGGCUCAACCUGUGGCCUGCAUUUGAAACUGUACUUCUUGAGUACUGGAGAGGCAGACGGAAUUCCUAGUGUAGCGGUGAAAUGCGUAGAUAUUAGGAGGAACACCAGUGGCGAAGGCGGUCUGCUGGACAGCAACUGACGCUGAGGCGCGAAAGCGUGGGGAGCAAACAGG
Molecule: ribosomal RNA, 407 nt
Filed under: uncultured bacterium
Lineage: Bacteria
Description: bacterial SSU rRNA
Rfam family: Bacterial small subunit ribosomal RNA
Source: RNAcentral